CUCUCUCCUCUUCUACGUGCUUAUCAUCAGCCUUCAACUUCUUGACAUCUUCGUUGUUCUCUCCCUCCUCGUCAGCUUCAUCUCUGACGCGCUUUAAACUGCCGGCACCGCCAAUCGCCACAUCAUCAGCUUGGGCUUCGACUAUUUUCAUGUCUUGAGUGGACGAUUCCUUCACCUCACCGUCGACUAGGGUUUCUGGGGUUUACUUUUGCUCUAUUUCUGCCAUAGUUUCCUCUCUGUUUUCCUUUCUUCUCUUAGUCUACCUCUCUCUGACUUCAACUCUCUCCUUUUGCUUUUUUUUUCCGCCGCUCUCCUUUUCCUUCCCUCUGUUUUUCCUCUUUUCGUAGCUAUUCUUUCCUCAGCCGAAGCUCCCUCUCUUUUCCGUUGGCUUGCCCGAUAGUUUUUCUCUUUGCUAAUCCUUGU
This 423-nucleotide long non-coding RNA is filed under the name Coffea arabica (coffee). RNAcentral describes it as "long non-coding RNA (CARA_LNC000171)". Lineage: Eukaryota; Viridiplantae; Streptophyta; Magnoliopsida; Gentianales; Rubiaceae. The record is from RNAcentral.